RNAcentral lists this ribosomal RNA (258 nucleotides) under uncultured bacterium. RNAcentral describes it as "partial 16S ribosomal RNA". It matches the Rfam family "Bacterial small subunit ribosomal RNA", at positions 524 to 776 of the family's 1533-position model. The record is from RNAcentral.
UACGUAGGGUGCAAGCGUUGUCCGGAUUUAUUGGGCGUAAAGAGCUCGUAGGCGGUUUGUCGCGUCGGAUGUGAAAACCCAGGGCUCAACCCUGGGCCUGCAUUCGAUACGGGCAGACUAGAGUAUGGCAGGGGAGACUGGAAUUCCUGGUGUAGCGGUGAAAUGCGCAGAUAUCAGGAGGAACACCGGUGGCGAAAGGCGGGGUCUCUGGGGCCAAAAACUGACGCUGGAGGAGCGAAAGCGUGGGGAGCGAACAGG